Long non-coding RNA from Bos taurus (domestic cattle), 1294 nucleotides. The record is from Ensembl. NCBI's taxonomy places the organism in Eukaryota, Metazoa, Chordata, Mammalia, Artiodactyla, Bovidae.
UUCCCUAAUGCGAUUGGGAGUCCGUUUGAUGCCCCUUUGCAUUCCAAUCACAAAGCUCAUCUUAGGCAGUCACUAAAUGGAUAUUGUCCAGCCAGAAUGUUUUUGGGUGUCAUGGACCAUUCUGCCUGGAAAAGAGUUUGGGACUUUCAACCUACCCAUUUCAGGACGGAUCCAGUCUCCAUUUCCUAAGAUAACUUUUUGUCAUCAUGACCUUCCCCAUUGAUCCUGCCUGGGAAGACUCAGACCAGCCUCUCCGCAGAAGCCUGAUCCCUGACUACGGUGCUCUCUUGGGUGGGACGACAGCUAAGGAGAAGGCGCAGAAGGCAAAGUUAAUGAUAUUUCACUUUAGAGAAAAUACGGCUGUGAAUUAAGACAGAUACUAUUGUAGGAGAGGUGGGAGAAGGAAAUGGCGACCUACUCCAGUGUUCUUGCCUGGGAAAUCCCAGGACAGAGGAGCCUGAGGGCCACAGUCCAUGGGAGGUAGGGGGGUGUCACAAAGAGUCAGACACGACUCAGCAGCUAAACCACAAAACUGAGAGAACAGAGACGUGGAGAGUUUGUCACUUCCAUAUAGAUCACGGGCUUUAUUUUGUGGUUUGGGGGAAUAUUUGAUUUGACUAUACAAAACCACUUUUUUGCUGUUGUACUAUUUAAUGUUUAUAGAUCAUUGCAGACAGAAAAGAUCACUUAAAAGCUGUUUACUGUGUGCCUGUUUGCUUUGCACUCAGAUUUGAAAAUAAAAAAUAAACAAGGUAUCAUUCCAGCUUCCUAAAAAAAGAAUAAUAAUAUUGUAGGAGAGGCAAAACUUUUCCUCUACUUUUAGGGUCUCUGACUAAGCCUGAGAAUUAAGCUGACACAGGACAGACGAACAGGGAAAAGUGUGCACAGCUGAGCUCUGCACUACACGGGGCCCACUGUGUGGGUCCACUCAGGUGCGCAUCUUUUUCACUAAAUACAUACUGCACGGCCCACGCUUGGCUGAAUCCACAGGUGUGGAACCACAGGAAGAGAGGGCUGACUGUAAUGUUACCUCUGGGUUUGAAUCACCCAGGGGUCGGCACCCCUAAUUCCUGCGUUGUUCAAGGGUCAACUGCCAAUUUUAUUUAGUACUUUAAUAAUUUUAUGACGUGGACAUGGGAGCCCUUCAGGAACAUGAAGAUCCAGAAGGCAGCUGGGGAGGGGGGCUGGGAAGGAGACUCCAGAUGGAGGGGCAUCCCGUAUGCUUACAGCUGAUGCUCACUGUACAGCCGAAACGGCUGAGUGAGUCACACACACACAGCAGAAACUAUCACAG